GCCUAGAUAGUUCAGUGGUCAGAACAUCCGUUGCUUAU
Molecule: transfer RNA, 38 nt
Filed under: Moniliophthora perniciosa FA553
Lineage: Eukaryota; Fungi; Basidiomycota; Agaricomycetes; Agaricales; Marasmiaceae
Description: tRNA-Lys
Source: RNAcentral